UAAAAAGGGGACGGCGUCAUGUAGUCAGCGCGUAGUGACGGAUUACUGCGCAGAGGGAACGGCUUAGGCCAGCACCGAGUUGAUGAGUUGACGUCCAAGAAAAGCCGAAGUAUGCAACCCGUACCGUAAACCGACACAGGUAGUCGAGGAGAGUAUCCUAAGGUGCUCGAGUGAUUCGUGGCUAAGGAACUAGGCAAAAUGGUCUCGUAACUUCGGGAGAAGAGACGCUCUAAUUAAAUUUGGAGCCGCAGUGAAGAGGCCCAGGCGACUGUUUAGCAAAAACACAGGACUCUGCUAACUCGAAAGAUGAAGUAUAGGGUCUGACACCUGCCCGGUGCCGGAAGGUUAAGGAAGGCUGUUAGCUUCGGCGAAGCAGUUAACUGAAGCCCCGGUAAACGGCGGCCGUAACAAUAACGGUCCUAAGGUAGCGAAAUUCCUUGUCGGGUAAGUUCCGACCCGCACGAAAGGCGUAACGAUUUGGGCACUGUCUCAGAGAGAGACUCGGCGAAAUAGAAUUGUCUGUGAAGAUGCGGACUACCUGCACCUGGACAGAAAGACCCUAUGAAGCUUUACUGUAGCUUGAAAUUGAAUUUGGGUUUAUUUUGCGCAGCAUAGGUGGGAGGCUAUGAUUUCAUAUUCGAGGAUAUGUAAGGAGCCAACAGUGAGAUACCACUCUAAUUAAACUAGAAUUCUAAUCUUAAUGCCGUUAUCCGGCUAAGAAACAGUUUCAGGUGGGCAGUUUGACUGGGGCGGUCGCCUCCUAAAAGGUAACGGAGGCGUGCAAAGGUUCUUUCAGACUGGUUGGAAAUCAGUCGUAGAGUAUAAAGGCAUAAAAGAGCUUGACUGCGAGACUUACAAGUCAAGCAGAGACGAAAGUCGGCCUUAGUGAUCCGACAGUACUGAGUGGAAAGGCUGUCGCUCAACGGAUAAAAGUUACUCUAGGNGAGUUCACAUCGACGGGGAGGUUUGGCACCUCGAUGUCGGCUCAUCGCAUCCUGGGGCGGUAGCACGUCCCAAGGGUUGGGCUGUUCGCCCAUGAAAGCGGUACGCGAGCUGGGUUCAGAACGUCGUGAGACAGUUCGGUCCAUAUCCGGUGCAGGCGUUAGAGUAUUGAGAGGAUUUCUCCUUAGUACGAGAGGACCGGGAGAGACAUACCGCUAGUGUACCAGUUAUUGUGCCAACAGUAAACGCUGGGUAGCUAAGUAUGGAUUGGAUAACCGCUGAAAGCAUCUAAGUGGGAAGCCUACCUCAAGAUGAUUACUCUCACCGUUUAACGGUUAAGAUCACGGCUAGAUUAGCCGUUUGAUAGGCGUCAAGUGUAAGUAUAGUAAUAUAUUCAGCUGAGACGUACUAAUAGAUCGAAGACUUGACAA
RNAcentral lists this ribosomal RNA (1373 nucleotides) under Heterosiphonia pulchra. RNAcentral describes it as "bacterial LSU rRNA". It matches the Rfam family "Bacterial large subunit ribosomal RNA", at positions 1462 to 2925 of the family's 2925-position model. Lineage: Eukaryota; Rhodophyta; Florideophyceae; Ceramiales; Dasyaceae. The record is from RNAcentral.